Mytilus californianus (California mussel) is the source of this 1407-nucleotide long non-coding RNA. RefSeq lists it as uncharacterized. Lineage: Eukaryota; Metazoa; Mollusca; Bivalvia; Mytilida; Mytilidae. The record is from RefSeq and is a predicted model, not a curated record. The transcript has 7 exons.
ACAGGGUUAGGGAAGUAAUAAAAUGUAUCUGUACUAAGUCUGAAAUAACUGUAUACAACAGAUAGAAAUGACGAAACAAUAGUUAUUGAACAGAUGACGUUACAUCAAUGGUAUAGUUGCAGUGAUUUUGCAGAUGAGAUCCUUAUGUCUAUUGAUGUUUACAGAGAUACCUUCCUCACCACAGGAAAAUGCUAUGCUAAAAAUCAGGAUUCACGGCAUCAAAGUAACUAUUAACUUCUUAUAUUGAAGUUCCGUAUACGUUAAUGUAGAAUGUGGUUCUGUACAAUAUAGAUGAUCGAGUUUAGACGUGAAUAAGAGAAGAUGGUGGUAAACAUGAAUGACACAGCAACCAAACGACACAAAAAACUUCUGAAGUAAAAUAUGCCUUGUCAUAUUGUUGGAAUUAUCAUGAGGAUGUUCAGAGAAAACGCACACAAUUUGUGAGAGCUGAAGUUAGAAUUGUUUGCAAACCAAGGAAGAUAAUUGUUGGAGAGAGCCAUACCAUGACGAUUUAUGCUGAGAAAAUAAAGUUUUUGAAUGCUGAUUAACAGACAGCUAAAGAGUUGGACAGGUACAUAUUAUUAAUGAAGAAAAAGAGAACAGAAAACAAAAGUGCAAGUGUUUGAGAAGAUGACCGAAGUAAAAUAUGCAACAUAUACAGCGAUAUAAGAGGAAAUUGCAGAAUAUUACCAGAACAUCUUAAACGCGAGAAUAAUAGGGAAAGAAAAUGAAGUCACAGCCCCUUUUCGGAAGAUAAUGUUUUAAAAAAAGGAAAAAAAGGGAAGAGAAAGAAAAGAUUUAUAUUCUAAUAUCUUAUUGUCAGCUCUUUUUAUGACGCAAAAGGACACUGAAGGUGUUAAUGUAAAUAAAAUGCCCACUUGGGUCGAGAAAUUUAUCAUAUGGUUGACCUUGUUGAAUGAAGUGCAAGGUGCAAUAUUGUAUUCCUUUAGGAAAAUACAUGUGUAUGUAUAAUGAAAAGCUGCGAAAGUUUCCUUUAAUUAUUCAAGAUUAUUUAAAAUCAAAAUUCUAAAACGCUCUGUUUUUGGUUAGUUUAAACAGAGAAACUCAGAGAACAGCACCCUUUCCAGUUUUAAAUAUUUUUCUCUGGUAUUACUGUGUGGAUUGGAUAUGUUCAUCAUUGGACAUAUUUGCUUUAAAAAAUAAUAUGUGGAAUUUAAUCAUUAUUGGUGGAAAACAUUAUCAGUUGACAAUCUGUUUUUGAAAUGUAUUUAAACUAUUGGAUUUAUCAAACUGUACUUUGAUGUAAAUAGUGUUCAUUGGACAAACUUGUAUUAUAAAGAAUCAACAAACUAUACAGUAAAUAGAGCAAUAUAGAUUGUUAUGUAAUAUAUCUGAAUGUGAGUUUGUCUUUUCUUUAUUUAAAAAAUAAAAUUAAUUGUUUGGGAA